AAAGUCGUCACACACGGAACAAGUCGUCCUUCCUUUGGCUCACGGUAGCUUUCAAAGGGAGUCCUCUCUUCGUUAGCUCUGUUAUAGCGCAAAUCCAGUUUUCGCCUGGAGCAAGCCCUGUUUUUUUGAACUAAACUCGGAAGUCAUAAUUUUUCAUUGAAUCUAUUCUUGCACCACUUGACCUAACAGCUUCUCUUGCCUGCCGACCUCCCCUUCCCGCUUCUAAGGCAACUUCCUGCUGUGACCCAUCUGACGCAUCUAGUAUUUUCUUACUUAGCAUCUAGGCCUUAGCAACAGUAGCAACACUUUCC
RNAcentral lists this long non-coding RNA (311 nucleotides) under Musa acuminata (dwarf banana). RNAcentral describes it as "long non-coding RNA (MACU_LNC009697)". The record is from RNAcentral. Lineage: Eukaryota; Viridiplantae; Streptophyta; Magnoliopsida; Zingiberales; Musaceae.